CUUCAGACUAACAGUCCCAAGUUGGACUC
Molecule: small RNA, 29 nt
Filed under: Bombyx mori (domestic silkworm)
Lineage: Eukaryota; Metazoa; Arthropoda; Insecta; Lepidoptera; Bombycidae
Description: piRNA piR-bmo-1853790
Source: RNAcentral